AUAUUAAUAAGGGGAGGAAAAGAAACUAACAAGGAUUCCCCUAGUAACGGCGAGUGAAGCGGGAUAAGCUCAAUUUGAAGAUCGACUACCUAACGGGUCGUCGAGUUGUAUCCUAUAGACGUACUAUCAGCUGUAAUCUGGGUAUAAGUUCUUUGGAAUGAGGUGCGAAACAGGGUGACAGCCCCGUAUACGACCUAAAGAUUAUAGCGUACGAUGUAUGUUCUUCGAGUCGAGUUGUCUGGGAUUGCAGCUCUAAAUGGGUCGUAAGUAUGAUCUAAAGCUAAAUAAUGGCGAGAGACCGAUAGCGCACAAGUA
RNAcentral lists this ribosomal RNA (315 nucleotides) under uncultured eukaryote. Its description in RNAcentral is "partial large subunit ribosomal RNA". It matches the Rfam family "Eukaryotic large subunit ribosomal RNA", at positions 40 to 350 of the family's 3401-position model. The record is from RNAcentral.